RNAcentral lists this ribosomal RNA (253 nucleotides) under uncultured bacterium. RNAcentral's name for it is "partial 16S ribosomal RNA". It matches the Rfam family "Bacterial small subunit ribosomal RNA", at positions 524 to 776 of the family's 1533-position model. The record is from RNAcentral.
UACGUAGGCAGCAAGCGUUGUUCGGAGUUACUGGGCGUAAAGGGUGUGUAGGCGGUUGGUUAAGUUUGGUGUGAAAUCUCCCGGCUCAACCGGGAGGGUGCGCCGAAUACUGAAUGACUAGAGUGCGGGAGAGGAAAGUGGAAUUCCUGGUGUAGCGGUGAAAUGCGUAGAUAUCAGGAGGAACACCGGUGGUGUAGACGGCUUUCUGGACCGUAACUGACGCUGAGACACGAAAGCGUGGGUAGCAAACAGG